Molecule: ribosomal RNA, 777 nt
Filed under: uncultured Neocallimastigales
Lineage: Eukaryota; Fungi; Neocallimastigomycota; Neocallimastigomycetes; Neocallimastigales
Description: partial large subunit ribosomal RNA
Rfam family: Eukaryotic large subunit ribosomal RNA
Source: RNAcentral
ACACUGACGUCGCGACGCAUAUCAAUAAGCGGAGGAAAAGAAACUAACAAGGAUUCCCUCAGUAACGGCGAGUGAAGCGGGAAGAGCUCAAAUUUGAAAUCUUCAAGGUUCUACCUUGACGAAUUGUAGUUUAAAGAAGUGUUUUCGGUUAGAGGAGUUUGGUAAAAGUUCUUGGAAUAGGACAUCAUAGAGGGUGAGAAUCCCGUAUUUGGUUAUUCAUUCUAGCUUUGUGAUACACUUUCAAAGAGUCGGAUUGUUUGGGAAUGCAGUCCAAAAUGGGUGGUAAAUUUCAUCUAAAGCUAAAUAUUGGCGAGAGACCGAUAGCGAACAAGUACCGUGAGGGAAAGAUGAAAAGAACUUUGAAAAGAGAGUUAAACAGUACGUGAAAUUGUCAAAAGGGAAGCGUUUGACACCAGUGUUGUUUUUCCGAAAAUCAAUUAUAAAAGUGGAUUUUGUUUCUGUAGUGAUGACCUUCAUCAGCUUGCCUUCUCUCUUCACUGACUUUUUUUAAUGCACUUUUCGUUAACAAGUCAACAUCAAUUUCUUUUGUUGUAAAAGAGUAUUCGGAAGGUGGCUUUCUUUUCGGAGAAAGUGUUUAUAGCCCUAUACUUCUACAAUCGGAGAGAUUGAGGUCUGCAGCGUAGAUCCUUCGGGGUUAGAUACACUUGUGCUAAGUUAUAGCUUUUCAUAGACAACUUGUUGACUAUGUUUAGUCUUGUAGCUUACUCGCUUGUGCUAUUUUACCUACGCUUAGGAUGUUGAGUCGAGAGCACGCAG